RNAcentral lists this ribosomal RNA (253 nucleotides) under uncultured bacterium. Its description in RNAcentral is "partial 16S ribosomal RNA". It matches the Rfam family "Bacterial small subunit ribosomal RNA", at positions 524 to 776 of the family's 1533-position model. The record is from RNAcentral.
UACGUAGGUGGCAAGCGUUGUCCGGAUUUAUUGGGUUUAAAGGGUGCGUAGGUGGCUUUGUAAGUCAGCGGUGAAACUCUGGAGCUUAACUCCAGACCGGCCAUUGAUACUGCAGAGCUUGAGUUCGAACGAGGUAGGCGGAAUUGACGGUGUAGCGGUGAAAUGCAUAGAUAUCGUCAAGAACGCCAAUAGCGAAGGCAGCUUACUAGAACGACACUGACACUGAGGCACGAAAGCGUGGGUAGCAAACAGG